Molecule: long non-coding RNA, 1916 nt
Organism: Stegostoma tigrinum
Lineage: Eukaryota; Metazoa; Chordata; Chondrichthyes; Orectolobiformes; Stegostomatidae
Exons: 2
Source: RefSeq, a predicted model, not a curated record
CCCGCCAGCAGCUCCCAAAGAACUCGCCACCCAAUGUUGCUACAAUAUUUGGCAACACCUGAACGGCUCCUCACUGACAGCCGCCGCAGCCAAUCGCAGCUGGCUCCGGCUUCCCCGCGCGGAAACCCUCCGCCAAUCACGGACCCCGGCCACGCUGCCCCGCCCCGCCGGCCCCAGACUGACGGCGCCUGCGGCCCAUCGUUGAUGGUUCAUUGGCCUAACCGCGUCACCCCGCAACCAGUCCCGGCCUCGACUUCUGUUCUGUACCCGCCCCCUACAAAGACAGCGCGGACGCUUGGCGCCUCCAGCCAAUGAAAGGUGAACCGUUCGCCCCGUGCUCGUCACCCUGUCAGAGCACCUGACAGGUGGCCGGCGUCUGAUUGGCUAGCUCUGCCGUCAAUCAUUAGGUCAAAUCCGAUCCCCGCCCACCACGGCGCCCAACUACGAUCCAGAAAUCAGAACCGCCUCCCUGCCGCCUGACUGACAGAAAUUGGAGCCAUUUACAGGUGAACCCGGCUCCCGCCCUUUCCCGCCCCGGGCCGUGACUGACACCUCAUCUAGCCAAUUACAGGCGACCCGGAUGCCGCAGGCAGAGGGACGCGCGCCUCACGUCAAGCUGCCAUGGAGACGGUGCCGCCGUCCUUCUCCCGUCGGCACCAGGUGAAGAAUGUGAUUGGAAAUGUCCCACAGCGCCACCUCAGGCUGGCAUGACCUAUAGGAGGCAGGGAGCUGCCUGGGCCAUAGGCAAUGAGGCUGUUCAGAGAAAUAUCACGAAUAAAUAGUUUGGAGGAGCUUGUGUUGGACUGGCGUGCUCAGAGUCAGCAGUCACACAACACCAGGUUAUAGUCCAAGAUACCAAGGUGUAGAGCUGGAUGAACACAGCAGGUCAAGCAGCAUCAGAGGGGCAGGAAAGCUGACGUUUCAGGCCUGGACCCUUCUUCAGAAGGUAAGGAUGCGGCAAGGGAUGGUACAUUGGUGAGCCCAUGCAGACGCUACAACAAUGAAUGAAUGGACACUGUGCAACAAUCACCAGACAGGAAUAUUCUCUCCCAGUUGGGUAACACUUCAGCGGUAAAGGACAUUCAGCCUCUGAUCUUCUGGUAAGCAUCCUCCAAGACAAACAAGAUAUUCAACAAUGCACAAUCAGUGAGCAGAAACAGAUAACCAAGCUCCGUACCCAUGAAAACAGAUUCACCUGCGAUUUUGGGAUCGUGUUGUGCUACACAGCACCUCUGUAUUAUGUAAAACUUUACUUGCUGUUCUGUUUUGACACCAUCACCUUGUUAAAUUGUUAUGAUCUCUCUACCUUAAUUGGUUUGGGCAGCUUUGGACUACUUAUCACUUUGGUUAGACCGUCAGCAUGUUGUACUAGCUAUUUGGUUUGUCUCCAGCACCACGUUAUUAUUUUUUUUUAUAAUUAUCUUUCUGUCUCAUUUAAUCAGAUUAUUUGUCAUCCCUUCACUUGUUAUUCAGCUGUUGACACUUUACUUACUGUCUAACACUCUUGGUCAUCUGCAGCGACUUAUUAUUUGACACUCCACUCACACCAGUUGUACGAUCUCUUGAUCUGUCUGCCCUUGAUCUCUCUGCCUAUAAAUUCUGUGUCUGUGUUCGUCUCUGUCAUUUCACCGGAAGAAGGAGCUGUACUCAGAAAGCUUGUGAUUUCAAAUCAACCUGUUGGACUCUAACUUGGUGUCAUGUGGCAUUUGAUUUAAUGAAGAAAUAGGUCAGAAGUCACAUAACGCCAGGUGAGAAUCCAACAGGUUGAUUUGAAAUCACAAGCUUUAGGAGUGCAGCUCUCUGAUGAAGGGUCUAGGCCCGAAACGUCAGCUUUUGUGCUCCUGAGAUGCUGCUUGGCCUGCUGUGUUCAUCCAGCUUCACACUUUGUUAUUUUAAAUAAACCCGUUGCAUUAUAA